Molecule: ribosomal RNA, 135 nt
Filed under: uncultured archaeon
Lineage: Archaea
Description: partial 16S ribosomal RNA
Source: RNAcentral
UUUUACCGCGGCGGCUGACACCAGACUUGCCCUCUCCUUAUUCCCCCAGCUUUCUAGACUGGGUAAAAGCCAACCUCAGCGGACGGCACUCGGGAUAGCCCUGUCACACUUGCGUGUAUUGCAAAGUUUGCGCGA